This 363-nucleotide RNase P RNA is filed under the name Gammaproteobacteria bacterium. RNAcentral's name for it is "RNase P RNA component class A". It matches the Rfam family "Bacterial RNase P class A". From Rfam's summary of the family: Ribonuclease P (RNase P) is a ubiquitous endoribonuclease, found in archaea, bacteria and eukarya as well as chloroplasts and mitochondria. Its best characterised activity is the generation of mature 5'-ends of tRNAs by cleaving the 5'-leader elements of precursor-tRNAs. Cellular RNase Ps are ribonucleoproteins. Lineage: Bacteria; Pseudomonadati; Pseudomonadota; Gammaproteobacteria. The record is from RNAcentral.
AGAGUUGGCCUUGCAAUCGCUGGUGAUGCNUAUCACGAGAGGAAAGUCCGGGCUCCUUCGGAAAAAGUGCCAGGUAACACCUGGAGGGUGCGAACCCAUGGAUAGUGCAGCAGAAAAUAUACCGCCUAAGUACUCAAGUACCGGUAAGGUUGAAAUGGUGCGGUAAGAGCGCACCGCAUAAAUGGUAACAUUUGUGGCUAGGAAAACCCCACUUGGAGCAAGACCAAAUAGAGAAGUGCCUGAUUAAUUUCAGAUCGUCGAUUCCGAGCGAACUUCUGGGUAGGUUGCAUGAGAUAGUUGGUGACAACUAUCCUAGAUGAAUGAUUGUACUCGACAGAACCCGGCUUANGGCCAACUCUUUCU